RNAcentral lists this ribosomal RNA (467 nucleotides) under uncultured Thiobacillus sp. Its description in RNAcentral is "bacterial SSU rRNA". It matches the Rfam family "Bacterial small subunit ribosomal RNA", at positions 912 to 1382 of the family's 1533-position model. The record is from RNAcentral. Lineage: Bacteria; Pseudomonadati; Pseudomonadota; Betaproteobacteria; Nitrosomonadales; Thiobacillaceae.
UUAGACGGGGACCCGCACAAGCGUGGAUGAUGUGGACUAAUUCGAUGCAACGCGAAAACCUUACCUACCCUUGACAUGUCCGGAAUCCUGCAGAGAUGCGGGAGUGCCCGAAAGGGAAUCGGAACACAGGUGCUGCAUGGCUGUCGUCAGCUCGUGUCGUGAGAUGUUGGGUUAAGUCCCGCAACGAGCGCAACCCUUAUCAUUAGUUGCUACGCAAGGGCACUCUAAUGAGACUGCCGGUGACAAACCGGAGGAAGGUGGGGAUGACGUCAAGUCCUCAUGGCCCUUAUGGGUAGGGCUUCACACGUCAUACAAUGGUCGGUACAGAGGGUUGCCAAGCCGCGAGGUGGAGCCAAUCCCAGAAAGCCGAUCGUAGUCCGGAUUGUUCUCUGCAACUCGAGAGCAUGAAGUCGGAAUCGCUAGUAAUCGCGGAUCAGCAUGUCGCGGUGAAUACGUUCCCGGGUCUU